AUUGAACGCUGGCGGCAUGCUUUACACAUGCAAGUCGAACGGUAACAGGCCUUCGGGUGCUGACGAGUGGCGAACGGGUGAGUAAUGCAUCGGAACGUGCCCAGAGGUGGGGGAUAACGCAGCGAAAGCUGUGCUAAUACCGCAUGUGAUCUGAGGAUGAAAGCGGGGGACCAAGCAGCAAUGUUUGGCCUCGCGCCUCUGGAGCGGCCGAUGUCAGAUUAGGUAGUUGGUGGGGUAAAGGCCUACCAAGCCGACGAUCUGUAGCUGGUCUGAGAGGACGACCAGCCACACUGGGACUGAGACACGGCCCAGACUCCUACGGGAGGCAGCAGGGGGGAAUUUUGGACAAUGGGCGCAAGCCUGAUCCAGCAAUGCCGCGUGCGGGAAGAAGGCCUUCGGGUUGUAAACCGCUUUUGUACGGAACGAAAAGGCUCUGGCUAAUACCUGGGGCUGAUGACGGUACCGUAAGAAUAAGCACCGGCUAACUACGUG
Molecule: ribosomal RNA, 492 nt
Filed under: uncultured bacterium
Lineage: Bacteria
Description: partial 16S ribosomal RNA
Rfam family: Bacterial small subunit ribosomal RNA
Source: RNAcentral